This 433-nucleotide ribosomal RNA is filed under the name uncultured bacterium. RNAcentral describes it as "partial 16S ribosomal RNA". It matches the Rfam family "Bacterial small subunit ribosomal RNA", at positions 29 to 507 of the family's 1533-position model. The record is from RNAcentral.
AACGAACGCUGGCGGCAGGCCUAACACAUGCAAGUCGAGCGGACCCUUCGGGGUUAGCGGCGGACGGGUGAGUAACGCGUGGGAAUAUGCCCUUCUCUACGGAAUAGUCCUGGGAAACUGGGGGUAAUACCGUAUACGCCCUUUGGGGGAAAGAUUUAUCGGGGAAGGAUUAGCCCGCGUUGGAUUAGGUAGUUGGUGGGGUAAUGGCCUACCAAGCCGACGAUCCAUAGCUGGUUUGAGAGGAUGACCAGCCACACUGGGACUGAGACACGGCCCAGACUCGUACGGGAGGGAGCAGUGGGGAAUCUUAGACGAUGGGGGCAACCCUGAUCUAGCCAUGCCGCGUGAGUGAUGAAGGGCUUAGGGUUGUAAAGCUCUUUGAGCUGGGAAGAUAAUGACGGUACCAGCAGAAGAAGCCCCGGCUAACUCCGUG